RNAcentral lists this ribosomal RNA (376 nucleotides) under Amynthas micronarius. RNAcentral describes it as "partial 16S ribosomal RNA". It matches the Rfam family "Bacterial large subunit ribosomal RNA", at positions 1926 to 2541 of the family's 2925-position model. The record is from RNAcentral. Lineage: Eukaryota; Metazoa; Annelida; Clitellata; Crassiclitellata; Megascolecidae.
AACGGCCGCGGUAUCUUAACCGUGCAAAGGUAGCAUAAUCAUUUGCCUAUUAAUUGUAGGCUAGAAUGAAGGGGUUAACGAAAUAAAAACUGUCUCAAUUAGUCACCUAAAAAUUAUUAUCUACUUGAAGAAAAGUAGAUAAACUCGAAGGACAAGAAGACCCUAUAGAGCUUAAUUUUAACUAUAGAACUAAACUAUACAAAUAUUCGGUUGGGGCGACCCGGGGCUAAAUAAUCACCCCCUACAUAAAAGAUAAAUUAAUCAAAUAAUUGACCCUUUAAAGAUCAUAAGACCAAGCUACCUUAGGGAUAACAGGCUAAUCCCACUCAAGAGUCCUUAUCAACAGUGGGGUUUGGCACCUCGAUGUUGGCUUAGG